CCUACGGGAGGCAGCAGUGGGGAAUAUUGGACAAUGGGCGAAAGCCUGAUCCAGCCAUGCCGCGUGUGUGAAGAAGGCCUUCGGGUUGUAAAGCACUUUCAGUGGGGAAGAAAGCCUUGGGGCUAAUACCCUCGAGGAAGGACAUCACCCACAGAAGAAGCACCGGCUAACUCCGUGCCAGCAGCCGCGGUAAUACGGAGGGUGCGAGCGUUUAUCGGAAUUACUGGGCGUAAAGCGCGCGUAGGCGGUCUGAUAAGCCGGUUGUGAAAGCCCCGGGCUCAACCUGGGAACGGCAUCCGGAACUGUCAGGCUAGAGUGCAGGAGAGGAAGGUAGAAUUCCCGGUGUAGCGGUGAAAUGCGUAGAGAUCGGGAGGAAUACCAGUGGCGAAGGCGGCCUUCUGGACUGACACUGACGCUGAGGUGCGAAAGCGUGGGUAGCAAACAGGAUUAGAUACCCCGGUAGUC
RNAcentral lists this ribosomal RNA (465 nucleotides) under Vreelandella stevensii. RNAcentral describes it as "partial 16S ribosomal RNA". It matches the Rfam family "Bacterial small subunit ribosomal RNA", at positions 338 to 795 of the family's 1533-position model. Lineage: Bacteria; Pseudomonadati; Pseudomonadota; Gammaproteobacteria; Oceanospirillales; Halomonadaceae. The record is from RNAcentral.